CCCCUGAGACAUCUGCCAGGACAUUUUUUUUUUAAAUCCCCACUUUACAGUUAAGGAAACUGUGAUAACUUGCCCAAGAUUAC
RNAcentral lists this microRNA precursor (83 nucleotides) under Cricetulus griseus (Chinese hamster). RNAcentral describes it as "mir-640". The record is from RNAcentral. Lineage: Eukaryota; Metazoa; Chordata; Mammalia; Rodentia; Cricetidae.